RNAcentral lists this long non-coding RNA (248 nucleotides) under Panax ginseng (ginseng). RNAcentral's name for it is "long non-coding RNA (PGIN_LNC013767)". Lineage: Eukaryota; Viridiplantae; Streptophyta; Magnoliopsida; Apiales; Araliaceae. The record is from RNAcentral.
GCCUCGUUUCAUGAUCUCCCUCUCACCUUUUCCAAUACAAGUCCAAGUAUUCCAUCAAAGAAUGUUCCUGUGCCGGGAAAGAGGAAUGAUCAAAAGGAUAGAGAUGCCCGCUAAGCAAAGGCAAUGGGACCAUGUUACAAAGAUCAGACUGACUGGCUUUGAUUGACUAGUCUCAUGUUGAUGGAAUUGCUUGGUCCUCGUCUCCCGAAUGAGAGAAAGUUGGUGCCCUUUACUAGUAGGGCUGNNNN